ACUUGUUUGUGCUCUAGGAAGUCCCCAAGAGCACAGGAGCCCAGAGACCUCGCAGGAGGAAGCAGCAGUAUCUGUGUUCCAAAUCCUGCCCAGCCCCCAGGCAGCCAUGGUAUCUUCUCAGCUGGCUCGAGGGCACACCUCCCAAAAUGCAGAGAAGGCAGGGUGGCUAGGAAUGGCUCUAGUAGAAUUCUCCCCUUAUCUUGUCUGGAAACAAGGGGCAAAGAGCUAUCUAUUUCCUCCUGCCAGCCUCCUGCCCCCAACAGGAUUCCUCACAUCCCAGGACCAGCUGGAAAAGGUGGUGAGAGUUGGAAAGAGACUGCUCAGUGAGGACUGCCCUGCGAACCAGCUUGGAUUCAUCCCGUUCACCUCCACGUUCUGCACUCGGGGCCGAGGGAAGGGAGGCAGCCCAGGCAGCUAGAGAACUUGAUGAAACACACUCAAUCUGAAUCUCGCUUGAUCGUCAUGCUGACCCAGUGAGGCCACUCCUCGACUUUUCAGCUCCCGCACGAUUCCUGAAGCAGGAAAAGAAACAGUUCUGUGAGUCUACUCAGGGUCAGGCAUCCUUUCCGACUACUCACUCAGCAGCGGAUCCCCACCCGCCUCUGACUCCCAGUGUCUUUCGGCUCCAACGUAAGUUCACCGAACGUCUAAGAGCUGAGGAUUCAAAGGCAUGUAAGACCGCCCCUGCCCUCAGCUGCAAGACCUGUCCGCGAUCCUACGAGCCCCAUUCCGCCCUCUUUCCCCGACCUUGGUCCCCCAUGGGCCCUACAACCAGGUCCCCGACUGACACCUUGACCAGCGAACACAGCAAACAGGCCCGCAGAUGCCGCAGGUCCUUCGGCACCGUCUCCAGGGCCAUCUUCGCCGAUGGGAAGAACAACAGGGAGAUAGACGACCACAGCCUGUGCACCCGCAGGAAGUAAAUAGCUCGUUACCCAGAAUGCCCACCACUUCCGGCGCUUAGACUUCCUCUUCCGGUGUGGGCGGACGCCAGCUCCGCCCCUACCCCCGCCAGAGGAGAUGGUUUCUCCCGCCAGCAGGCGGGGAGGCUGGGCGGCCGGCCGCCACCUGGGCCGGAGCGCGUCGCAGCCACCUGAGCCCGCCGAGGGCGCGGCGGAGGCUGUGUGGGGUAGUCAGCGGGCCCCCGGGGCGGGGGGGCGGCUGCGCUUGCGCGGGAGUGUGUCGGGCUGAGCCGCAGCGCCGAGACGCGGGCUGUUUGAUCUGGGCUGGUGGCCCUGGGCGUCGGUCCUGUUCCCCGAUGGUAACCCGAAGUUUGUUUUUUUUUGUUUUGUCUCCCCGUUUUAGAAGCAUUGGGGGCAGUGAAUCCACUGUCUCCCUCUGGAUUGUCUCUGCAGAGACCGAGAAGAAAUCCAGGGACAGCCCCACCCCUCCUUCCUAACUGCGAGAGCGCUAUAGGGUUUCCACUUGCUUCCCACAGGAAUGCUGGCCUGGGAGCUACGGCGGAAAAAAAUGCGUAUUUAUCUUUUAAAACUCCGUCUGUUUGCUCGUUCCGGCUGAUAAUUUAUACUUUGCGCAGUUCUUAGCGCUUAGACACGGUUCCUUUACUAAAGACCAUUUGUAGGAGAUUAGGUGUCCUUUUUUUCCCUUUCAUUUCACCGUCUAGGAAGCGAAAUGCCUUGUUCUAUAGGCACUAAACCACCACCCCUACCAAACCUUUCUCGGGGAAGCAGAAGGGGAACUUGUGCCUUGUGAGGAAGCGACAAAGGCCCCUUCUGGCCCUGGAGACUUCACGCCAAUGGAGCACCAGCUCUCUGUCCUCGCAAUAGCCCGAGUGCAGGCAGAACGCAGUCAUUUGUGUUUAUCUGAGAGGAGCUUUGGGAUAUAAAUAGUUUCAGGCCCCGCUGCGCUGUCAUUCCAGCCCAGCCUCCUGAUUGAGCUGCUUCCGGGCGGGCUUUCUUCUUGUUGGCGGUCCCAUGCUGUGUUCAGAUGGGCUCUGUGACAGGUUUGGAUGUUUUCUAUCACUGAAUAAAACUUUCCACUUUGGAACAUAUUUUCUACACUCUAUUAUCUCAUGUAAGUCCUGCAACAACUAUUAAGUAGGCCCAUUUUAUGGACUGAAAAAGCGAGGCACAGAGUAUUUGCCCAAGGUCUGAGUCACUGAAGUAUGAUAAUGUGUGAAGUGAACAGUAUAAUAAUAAUGACUGAAGCACAGUAAGAAUCCAGUCAUGCUUUCUCCUUCCCUGAUCUCACUAAGCCACACUUUUAGGGGCUUACAAACCAGUUCUUAUUGCCAAGCCCUCUACUCUACCCUAUCCUUUCAUGAAUCGGAGCCUAGCCUCUGAUAACAUAAAUAAUUUACUUCUCUUGAUGUAGAAAGAGAUGACGUUGUUACCCUGAGUGACAGUCACGACAGAACAAAACCACAAGACCAGACCACAUUUGUGGAUAAAUAUAUUAGCAAAUAAAUAUAUUUCUUAACAUAGUGCCUGAAAAAAAAAAAAAAAAAA
Molecule: long non-coding RNA, 2468 nt
Filed under: Homo sapiens (human)
Lineage: Eukaryota; Metazoa; Chordata; Mammalia; Primates; Hominidae
Description: TSPOAP1, SUPT4H1 and RNF43 antisense RNA 1, transcript variant 5 (TSPOAP1-AS1)
Source: RNAcentral